UGGCGGCGUGCCUAAUACAUGCAAGUCGAACGCUUUGUCUUUAAUUGAUCUGACGAGCUUGCUCUGAUGUGAUUUUAUCUGACAAAGAGUGGCGAACGGGUGAGUAACACGUGGGUAACCUACCUCUUAGCAGGGGAUAACAUUUGGAAACAAGUGCUAAUACCGUAUAAUACCAACAACCGCAUGGUUGUUGGUUGAAAGAUGGUUCUGCUAUCACUAAGAGAUGGACCCGCGGUGCAUUAGCUAGUUGGUAAGGUAACGGCUUACCAAGGCAAUGAUGCAUAGCCGAGUUGAGAGACUGAUCGGCCACAAUGGGACUGAGACACGGCCCAUACUCCUACGGGAGGCAGCAGUAGGGAAUCUUCCACAAUGGGCGCAAGCCUGAUGGAGCAACGCCGCGUGUGUGAUGAAGGGUUUCGGCUCGUAAAACACUGUUAUAAGAGAAGAACGGCACUGAGAGUAACUGUUCAGUGUGUGACGGUAUCUUACCAGAAAGGAACGGCUAAAUACGUGCCAGCAGCCGCGGUAAUACGUAUGUUCCAAGCGUUAUCCGGAUUUAUUGGGCGUAAAGCGAGCGCAGACGGUUAUUUAAGUCUGAAGUGAAAGCCCUCAGCUCAACUGAGGAAUGGCUUUGGAAACUGGAUGACUUGAGUGCAGUAGAGGAAAGUGGAACUCCAUGUGUAGCGGUGAAA
This 692-nucleotide ribosomal RNA is filed under the name Weissella paramesenteroides. RNAcentral's name for it is "bacterial SSU rRNA". It matches the Rfam family "Bacterial small subunit ribosomal RNA", at positions 37 to 686 of the family's 1533-position model. The record is from RNAcentral. Lineage: Bacteria; Bacillati; Bacillota; Bacilli; Lactobacillales; Lactobacillaceae.